This 294-nucleotide ribosomal RNA is filed under the name uncultured bacterium. RNAcentral's name for it is "partial 16S ribosomal RNA". It matches the Rfam family "Bacterial small subunit ribosomal RNA", at positions 775 to 1067 of the family's 1533-position model. The record is from RNAcentral.
GGAUUAGAUACCCUGGUAGUCCACGCCCUAAACGAUGUCUACUAGUUGUCGGGUCUUAAUUGACUUGGUAACGCAGCUAACGCGUGAAGUAGACCGCCUGGGGAGUACGGUCGCAAGAUUAAAACUCAAAGGAAUUGACGGGGACCCGCACAAGCGGUGGAUGAUGUGGAUUAAUUCGAUGCAACGCGAAAAACCUUACCUACCCUUGACAUGGUCGGAAUUCUGCUGAGAGGCGGAAGUGCUCGAAAGAGAACCGACACACAGGUGCUGCAUGGCUGUCGUCAGCUCGUGCCG